AAUUCAGGAAAGCAAAACUUGUUUUUCUUGAAAUUUGCUUUUCUUUUCACAAUUGACCCCAUGAUGCCUAGGCAUUAAUCUUUAGUGAAAGUCAUAGACACUCUCUAGAUAGUGGAGAUAUUAAAAGCCAUUGGCAGGAUUUUGGUCACUCAACACAUUUUAAACAAAACAAAAAUGCCAAUAAACAAUAUCCGCAGGCCGGAGUUCUUUUGUGGCACAGUGGGUUAAGGAUCUGGUGUUGUCACUGUCACUGCUGUGGCAUGGAUUCAGCCCUUGACUUGGGAACUUCCACAUGCUACGAGUGUGGCAAAAAAAAACCCAAAACCCCCAAAAAACCCAAUAUCAAUAGGCAAACAACAGUUUGAAAUCCUCUCUAUAACUAUCCCACCAUUUGUUUGUGUCAAGAAAAUAAAUAAAGGUCUUUGGCUAAGGUUAAGGUAGGUAUUUGAUUUAAAACUUGAGUGAGAUUAUGGAAUACUUGUUCCUAUUGGGCCAUCUUUUGUAAAUUUUUCUGAAUUUGUGCAGAAUUAUCAACACACUUGUGGCAGGUAGUGCCCUUUAUAGCACAUACACCUUCUCCUUGGCCGAAUAAGUAAUCUAGAACUAAGUGAUUAUCCAAAACUAUUUGUGCUAACAACUAUCUGUUGUUAUAUUAAGGCUAAGCUUUGGUCUAACAACCCAGUGGUGUUCCUGGCAGUGAUUUGUAAGGGUAGUCCCUGGGAGGUAGAUGCAAGUACAUUGAUGUCAACAGACAGGGGCCAACAAGGAGGCAAAUGCAUUGGAGGUUGAGGGAAGAAGUGCACAUAUAGAGAGCAUCUGGGGAUUUUGAGAUUAGUAGAUGCAAACUAUUACAUUUAGAAUGGAUAAGCAGUGAGGUCCUGUUGUACAGCACAGGGAACUAUAUCCAGUCUGUUGGGAAAGAACAUGAUGUAUGUAUAUGGGGUUCAGGCGCAAUUAUUUUCACUUCUGUGGGGAGGUAUGAUUCCAUAAUUCAUUGGAAUUAAGCGGCUAAAUGUGAUCUAGAAGCAGCAUGGUGGAUCUGUGUUCUUCUAAUGGGCCAGGGGUCAUAGAUAACCACCCAUCCCUGAUCGGGUCACCAAUGAAUAUUGGGAGGUGAGAUGAUGGAUGUUUUAAAUCUGUAAGGGAAAAAAAUGUAAGUUAUAUUGUCCUGUAAGAUUAAGGCACCAGAUUCCCCUGUGAUAAUAAUCAUAGUCAGUAUGGCCAAAUUAGUUUAUGAGAGUGUGGCCAUAUGGCUUAGAGUUUAAAGCUAUAAGUGCCUCUGGCAACAAAGAAGUCCAUUUAGGAGUACAUUUUUCACCCUGUAACUUAAGGAUCAAGUAAUGCCAGAGGUCCAUGGCUGGUAUGGGAGAAGAAAGUUCCAUUGGAUGCUCUGUUGGAGAGCCCCGUGGAGUGUUAAUGUGGUAAAAUGAGAUACUUUAUCUGAGUAAAUGAUGUCAGGAGGGCCAAAUGGAAGAAGGAUACACAUAGAAAAGAAGAUCCCUGUCCCCAGAAGUAUUCCUGGUAGGUAUAUCAAUCAGUGAGCCAGUAAAAGUACCCACAUGUGUAGUGGUGAAGUGGGUAGUGCCUGUGGAUGGAGGAGCAGCCCUGUGAAGUCAAAGGGCUAAACGGAUGGUUCCCUUGUGGAACCAGAGGAUGGUGGUGCAGUCUCCAGUUUGGUUUAGGAGCAUAAUUUGCAAUUCAAAACAGUGUGUUUUCUAAGGGCUGGCAUAAGUGAAACACCCCUGGCCCUGGCCCAGGCCCAGGUGGCAGCAGCUCCCCAUAAUCCUAAAGGCUACACCAAGGAAAAAGGGAUAGGAAGUGCUGACUAAGAAAGGCCUGAUUGGUGGAGUUGAGGACUGAUUGAUGGGGGAAGCUGUGGUUUUGUGGUAGUGGGUAGAGCCCACAUUGCUGUUGGUAAAGGGGCAGUGGUCAACAGCCCCGAAAAGCUGGUGACCUGGAUUUGGCCAAGGGCAUCCACUUUGUGGUUAAAGACAGUCUUUAUUGUGGUAGCAUCUGUAUGUGAUGAAACAUGGGUAACUCAGUUGUUACUGGUGCCUGGGUGAUGUACCUCCAAACUGGGGGACCCCAAAUGGGAUGGUCUUGAAUGUGAAAAUUGUCCUGCUUCCAUUGGCCCAACCAAGCUGCUGCCUUGGCAGCAACCAUGUGUGAGCCAAUAUAAGUAUGGACAAGAGGCUUGUCAUGGUCAGAGGCACUCUGCCCAGGCAUUUGUACUUGUGGGAUGACAGUGUCCUCGCCAUAAGUGGUGGAGCCUUUUGAAGAGCUGCAGUGGACCAUCCUGCCAGAGGCACCACACUUAUCAAAGACAGCAAGUCCAUGCUGGUCAGUGUCUCAACCCAGAAGGAGCAGCCAGGGGGAAGCCAAAGAGAGGGCAUAAUAAAUUGACCUCUGUGCUACUUGUAAGACUUGCUACUGAGCUACCUGCCCCCAGUAAAUGUGGAGGCUUUGCAUGUGACUGCAUAAAUGACUGUCUAAGAAUGGUCUAAGAAUGGUGGGUAAGUGUGGUAUGUGUUGCCUCCAAAAUGAGAAGAGACCUAAGAAUUGCUGGGUUUGCCAUGGUGGGAGGCUGAAUAGUUAACAAUUGAUAUUUAACUGCCUUUAAAGGACCAAUUCAUGUCCAGACAUUUAACAGUGGUAGCUGGCCCUUCAAUUUUAGGUGAGGCAAUAACCCAACCUGUAUGUUGCAGAUGCAUCACCAGUUGUAUUAAGGCUUCAUACAUUGUAUCCCUUGAGGGGACCCUAGAUUAAAGUGCCAUUGGUAUAGUGCCAGACAGUGCAAGGGGGACACUGGGUCUUGCUGGCAAAGAUUGUGGACAAUAACUGGGCUGUUAAGAUAGCUCAUAGGUGACCAGGUAAAGGUAUAUUGUGAAUGCCUUUGAACAUAAAGGCGAAUUGUAGCUGGGAAUCCUAGGUGAUCACUACUGAAUAGGACGGAUUAGUUAGAUCAAUUAUGGCAAAGUAGGCCAUGGAGCCCUUUGGAUGUUCUCAAUUAACCCGGCAAGUUGGGAAUGGUAGCUUCAAAAGGCGGCACCUGAACAUUUAAAUUUCAGCAGCAAGCUAUAAGGCACCACUCAUUAGUAGCUGGCUUUAAUACUGGCCAAAGGGGGAACUGAAAGGAGAAACGGUCUGUUUAAUGACUUCUUCCUUUAAUAAAUCUUGAAUUAUGGGCCAUAAUCCUUCAGUCCCCUGGCAAAAGUGACACUGGGGCUGUCUUAAUCGGGAGUGGUAGUCUUAUGAGCUCCCAAUGUGCAGCUCCUACCAGGAAAGCCAGGGAUUGGGGUUUGCUUCACAUGGCAUGGUGGUGGCACAUUAAGGCAUCCACACCUAUAACAGGAAAGGAUAGGGCCAAAGGGGCCACCACCACUAAAAGGAUUUUAAUCAAAAUUGUUCCAAGAGGCAUCAGUGGAUGCCUUCUACUAUUCUACCUGCAAUACCUUAUAAUUCAGAGGGUGCCCCUUGCUUAUAUUUGGAGGGGUUCCCAGGAAGCACUAUAAUUUGGGCUCCAGUGUCUAUUUUGUGGGAGCAGAAGGAUAAUUAGAGAAGUGUAUGGGGGCAGUGUCUUCUGGAGGAAGGAAAAGCUCCAGGGAACUGCCAGGUCCCAGGGCAGAGACCUUGGUGGCUGCCACUCUCUAAAAUCACAGUCCUGAAUCCCAGAUCCUGCUGCCAGUUCUGGGCAUUCUGGUGCAUUCUGAGAAGUGACAGCAUCUGCCCUCACUGGGAGGCGGGGCAGUUUCUUAGAGUCUGCAGCACCUGAAAAAAGGCUUUUUUUUUUCCCCCUCUUUUUUUUGCUGCCCUAUAGAAAAUGGAGUUCUCAGGCCAGGGAUCAGAGCCGAGCUGCAGUUGUAACCUACAAGGCAGCUGUGGCAAUGCCGGAUCCUUUAACCCACUGUGCUGAAUGCCGGGUCAGGAUGAAACCUGCGACCGUAGCGGGAACUCCUGAGUGAAGGCUUUUAAGUCAACUUGGGCUAUCGUGAGAUUAAGUCAUUUGGGAAGGAGCUAGGUUGAGGCACCAUCCCUCUGUGAGGACCAGUAAGUGGCCUGGAAGUCCUCAUAUCCUUUAGGGCCCCUCCUUUGGUUUCCUGCCUGAGGGAGCAGCAGGGCCAUUUUCACCUUUACCAGUGAACAAGAUCUGGGCUUCAGAAAAUGCUCUUUUUCUUGUUUAACUAGAGCAUUGAGGCAGUCCAAGGCUUAUUGUACAUCAUCUGACACUUCUGUGAAUUGUAACAGCAUCUUAUAAUUGGGAGGGUGCCCUUUAAGUAGUAUUUAUUAGAUUCUGGUCCCAAGGGUACCUAUUCUGGGUUGGAGAUGGUCAAGGGGUCUAUGGGAGCAUGACGCUCAGCAAAAUGAUACACGCACUGAACCAACUCAUUUUCCCUGAGAGGAGGUGAGCUUCACCUAGGGUUGUUCACUGGAAGUUGAAUAGUUAGUUGUAGUAACUGUGACAGAUGGUGGACCCUGUGCCAAGCUAGAAAAUCCAAGUCAGGGAAGGCCUUAUCUGUAUGAGCUCCAGAGGCCUGGUGGGGGUGCUCAUCUUCAGAAAUUCAUCCUCUUUUUUUGUUUUGUCUCUGUCUCCUCCCUUGGUGGCUCAGUGUAUUUGGGAGCAUCCUCACUGCAGUGAAAAGUCUGAGGGCUCCUCUAGGGGGUCUCUAAUAAAGUGGGCCCUCGAUAUCUUGGGUCUUCCUUAAAACAGAUUAUUAAUUUGCUAGGUGCUGUGUUGGGGAUAGUUCCCAAUGCCUAAGAAUGUAGCACCUGCAACUUUGCUUGUUGAUAUGCCACCGAUUAUAAUAAAUCCAAGCCAUCUGAGCAGCAGUCUUAGAAGUGUCUAGUGUUUUUUUUGACCUCUUCUGGGAACUUGGGAGGGACUGGUACUGUGUGUUUCCAGCCCCACCUUUAGGGAGUCUAGAUUUUGCUUUCUGAGCCAGGAGUGGGAUAACCUAUAUCCCAGGGGGCCGGGGGAGGGAAUUUUGCAAUUGCAUCAAGAAAUGCAGCAAUGUAGGAGGUGCUUACCUCAGCAACGUUUGCCCACCUAGGGUGUUAUGUCCCUGGUAGAGUUGCCCCAUCAAGGUUGGGGCUGGGAACAUGUAGGGGCCAGCAGCCAGCCUUUCCUCCUGACCCUAAUGUAGAGGAACUCUCCUUGGCUCCCUGGACCUGAUAGCCCUCACCCUGGCUUCUGCUUGAGGGAUAGAAGCUGAGCCCUUACCAGAUAUUAGCUCUUCUGAGAUCAAUGCAGGGACUUUUGCAUGUGAUUAUAGCCAUCGCCUCCAGACUGGACACCCAUCAGGGUCUCAUUUAGAGACUAAUGGGAAACACAACCAUCUCACACUGAGGCCUGCUAGCUGGUCUCUACAGGGGAGUCUGACCUUUUAUGGCAAUAACGAUUUAGGGUAGGGAUUCCCAGCAACAUGUAGCAGCAGCAAUACACAUUAGCGCCAGCAAGUGCUGCUUCCUUCCCAGAGAGACUGAGCAGUCUGGGAAAAGAAGUGAGUGAGCCAUUCACAGCUCUAAGGCAUUGCAAGAGGGUACAAACUAUGCUCACAAUCUCAUCCUUCUUGUUGCCAGUUGUGCUCAGAAGCCAGAGCUAGUGCAUUGAAUUAGGAAUAUGCAGAUUAUGACCUGCCAAAUGCAGAGAUCAAGAUGAAACACCCACACAGGGGCAGCAGGUAGCUUCCUCAGCUUCUGAGCUCCCAUUUUGGGGAAGUGAAAGACAGGAUUGUUUCAACUGAAGAUGCAUCUUCAAUACCGUACACCCACAGUAAGGAUGUAGUCACAAGACUUACUACUUACAUGUGCUAGAGGCCAGGAGCUGCAUGGGUGUUGGGAAGGGCAGUCCUCCCUCCCAGGUGAACAGGAGACAGAGAGCAGGUAACAAGCAUCUAUUGCUUAUAAGGUGGCUGGGGUAGACACUAACUUUUUGAGGGCUUAACCGUUAAUGGUUAUUUUAAAGAGUGCCCAGGAAAAAGUAAGCAGGGACUUACCUACAGUAGGCAUCCUAGACUCAUCCAAGUCCUUAUCUAAAUGCCUAGACUCUGGGUGUGAGCAGAGUUAUUAUUACCGAAAAAUAUCUAGGCAGCAACUCAGAAAAAUAAAAAUUGUUUUCUCAAAAGUUGUUUUUCAGAGUUCCCAUUGUGGCUCAGCAGUAACGAACCCAACUAGUAUCCAUGAGGACCUGGGUUUGAUCCCUGGCUUCGCUCCGUUGGUCAGGGAUCCAGCCUUGUUGUGAGCUGUGAUUUAGGUCUCAGGUACUGCUCAGAUUCCGCGUUGCUGUGACUGUGGCUGUGGCCGGCAGCUGCAGCUCUGAUUUGACCCCUAGCCUGGAACUUCCUUAUGCCACUAAAAAG
RNAcentral lists this long non-coding RNA (6356 nucleotides) under Sus scrofa (pig). RNAcentral describes it as "lncRNA (ENSSSCG00040053847.1)". Lineage: Eukaryota; Metazoa; Chordata; Mammalia; Artiodactyla; Suidae. The record is from RNAcentral.